RNAcentral lists this ribosomal RNA (861 nucleotides) under uncultured archaeon. RNAcentral describes it as "SSU rRNA". It matches the Rfam family "Archaeal small subunit ribosomal RNA", at positions 474 to 1337 of the family's 1478-position model. The record is from RNAcentral.
UACCAGCUCUCCGAGUGGUAGGGAUGAUUAUUGGGCUUAAAGCGUCCGUAGCCGGCUCUUCAAGUCUUUCGUUAAAUCCAACGAUUCAAUCGCUGGACUGCGGGAGAUACUGCUGAGCUAGGAGGCGAGAGAAGUCGACGGUAUUUCCGGGGUAGGAGUGAAAUCCUAUAAUCCCGGGAGGACCACCAGUGGCGAAGGCGGUCGACCAGAACGCGCUCGACGGUGAGGGACGAAAGCUGGGGGAGCGAACCGGAUUAGAUACCCGGGUAGUCCCAGCAGUAAACGAUGCGAGCUAGGUGUUAGGGUGGCCAUGAGCCGCUCUAGUGCCGCAGGGAAACCGUUAAGCUCGCCGCCUGGGGAGUACGGCCGCAAGGCUGAAACUUAAAGGAAUUGGCGGGGGAGCACCACAAGGGGUGAAGCUUGCGGUUUAAUUGGAGUCAACACCGGAAACCUUACCGGGAGCGACAGCAGAGUGAAAGCCAGAUUGAAGGUCUUGCCGGACGAGCUGAGAGGAGGUGCAUGGCCGUCGCCAGUUCGUGCCGUGAGGUGUCCUGUUAAGUCAGGCAACGAUCGAGACCCACAUCCCCUGUUGCCACUGAAGAAGCUUUCUGAGGGGCACACUGGGGGUACUGCCGACGAUAAGUCGGAGGAAGGAGUGGGCAACGGCAGGUCAGUAUGCCCCGAAUCUCCCGGGCCACACGCGAGCUGCAAUGGUGGGGACAGUGGGCUCCGACCUCGAAAGGGGAAGGUAAUCCCGAAACCCUGCCUCAGUUGGGAUCGAGGGCUGCAACCCGCCCUCGUGAACAUGGAAUCCCUAGUAAUCGCGCGUCACUAUCGCGCGGUGAAUACGUCCCUGCUCCU